This is a non-coding RNA of Schistosoma haematobium, 45 nucleotides long. The record is from Rfam. Lineage: Eukaryota; Metazoa; Platyhelminthes; Trematoda; Strigeidida; Schistosomatidae.
AUUUAGUUGAUGAGUCCCAAGCAGGACGGAAUGCGCAUCAUGAAU